This 523-nucleotide ribosomal RNA is filed under the name uncultured bacterium. RNAcentral describes it as "bacterial SSU rRNA". It matches the Rfam family "Bacterial small subunit ribosomal RNA", at positions 8 to 524 of the family's 1533-position model. The record is from RNAcentral.
AGAGUUUGAUCCUGGCUCAGAUUGAACGCUGGCGGCAUGCCUUACACAUGCAAGUCGAACGGCAGCACGGGUGCUUGCACCUGGUGGCGAGUGGCGAACGGGUGAGUAAUACAUCGGAACGUACCUUAUCGUGGGGGAUAACGUAGCGAAAGUUACGCUAAUACCGCAUACGAUCUACGGAUGAAAGCGGGGGACCGUAAGGCCUCGCGCGAUUGGAGCGGCCGAUGUUAGAUUAGGUAGUUGGUGGGGUAAAGGCUCACCAAGCCGACGAUCUAUAGCUGGUCUGAGAGGAUGAUCAGCCACACUGGGACUGAGACACGGCCCAGACUCCUACGGGAGGCAGCAGUGGGGAAUUUUGGACAAUGGGCGCAAGCCUGAUCCAGCCAUUCCGCGUGCAGGACGAAGGCCUUCGGGUUGUAAACUGCUUUUGUACAGAACGAAAAGCCUUGGGUUAAUACCCUGAGGUCAUGACGGUACUGUAAGAAUAAGCACCGGCUAACUACGUGCCAGCAGCCGCGGUAAU